UACGUAGGGGGCUAGCGUUGUCCGGAAUCAUUGGGCGUAAAGAGCGUGUAGGCGGUCCGGUAAGUCCGCUGUGAAAGUCGGGGGCUCAACCCUCGAAUGCCGGUGGAUACUGUCGGGCUAGAGUGCGGAAGAGGCGAGUGGAAUUCCUGGUGUAGCGGUGAAAUGCGCAGAUAUCAGGAGGAACACCUAUGGCGAAGGCAGCUCGCUGGGACGUUACUGACGCUGAGACGCGAAAGCGUGGGGAGCAAACAGG
RNAcentral lists this ribosomal RNA (253 nucleotides) under uncultured bacterium. Its description in RNAcentral is "partial 16S ribosomal RNA". It matches the Rfam family "Bacterial small subunit ribosomal RNA", at positions 524 to 776 of the family's 1533-position model. The record is from RNAcentral.